UACAGAGGCCACAAGCGUUAGGCGGAAUCACUGGGCUUAAAGCGUGUGUAGGCGGAUGUCUAAGUACCUUGUGAAAUCCCACAGCUCAACUGUGGGCGUGCGAGCGAUACGGGCAGACUAGAGUACUGCAGGGGAGACUGGAAUUCCUGGUGUAGCGGUGAAAUGCGCAGAUAUCCGGAGGAACACCAGUGGCGAAGGCGCCACUCUGGGCCGUAACUGACGCUGAGGAGCGAAAGCGUGGGUAGCAAACAGG
Molecule: ribosomal RNA, 253 nt
Filed under: uncultured bacterium
Lineage: Bacteria
Description: partial 16S ribosomal RNA
Rfam family: Bacterial small subunit ribosomal RNA
Source: RNAcentral